This 366-nucleotide ribosomal RNA is filed under the name Paratopeliopsis caraibica. Its description in RNAcentral is "SSU rRNA". The record is from RNAcentral. Lineage: Eukaryota; Fungi; Ascomycota; Lecanoromycetes; Ostropales; Graphidaceae.
UAUUGGUCAAUAGCCUAAUGGCUGAACCAGCAACUUGGAGGAAUGUAUAAGGAAAGCUAGUCAAAUAGUUAUUACUUACUUGUAUUAGUUAUUAGUAUGGGAUUAACUUAGUUAAUUAAAGUUCAAAGUAGAUAUUGAUUAUGACAAUAUUUGCUUAUUUCUUGACCAAGUCACGUGCCAGCAGUCGCGGUAAUACGUGGAAGAUUAGUGUUAUUCAUGUUUAACAGGUUUAAAGGGUACCUAGACGGUUAAUUAAACACUACAUGUAUUAAUUAUCUAGAGUUUAAUGUAAGAAAGAUAGAGUACGGUGAGAGGAGAGAUAAAAUUUUGUGAUACCACUCAGAAACUGGUAAAGGCGAAGGCUAC